UCGAGAAUCUUCCGCAAUGGGCGAAAGCCUGACGGAGCGACGUUACGUGAAUGAUGAAGCCCUUCGGGGUGUAAAGUUCUUUUAUAUGGGAAGAAGUUAUUGACUGUACCAUAUGAAUAAGGGGUUGCUAACUCUGUGCCAGCAGCAGCGGUAAUACAGAGACCCCGAGCGUUACCCGGAUUUAUUGGGCGUAAAGGGUCCGUAGGUGGCGUAGUAAGUUUUGGGUUAAAACUCAUUAGCUUAACUUUUGAGGUGCUCAAAAUACUGCUACACUAGAGGGCGUUAGGGGUUAACGGAACCGACAGAGUAGGGGUGAAAUCCGUUGAUAUUGUCGGGAACACCAAAAGCGAAGGCAGUUAACUAGGACGACCCUGACACUGAGGGACGAAAGCGUGGGGAGCAAAAAGG
This 408-nucleotide ribosomal RNA is filed under the name uncultured bacterium. RNAcentral's name for it is "bacterial SSU rRNA". It matches the Rfam family "Bacterial small subunit ribosomal RNA", at positions 355 to 776 of the family's 1533-position model. The record is from RNAcentral.